This 756-nucleotide ribosomal RNA is filed under the name Vibrio sp. FCH-27. RNAcentral's name for it is "bacterial SSU rRNA". It matches the Rfam family "Bacterial small subunit ribosomal RNA", at positions 45 to 780 of the family's 1533-position model. The record is from RNAcentral. Lineage: Bacteria; Pseudomonadati; Pseudomonadota; Gammaproteobacteria; Vibrionales; Vibrionaceae.
GGCCUAACACAUGCAAGUCGAGCGGAAACGACACUAACAAUCCUUCGGGUGCGUUAAUGGGCGUCGAGCGGCGGACGGGUGAGUAAUGCCUAGGAAAUUGCCUUGAUGUGGGGGAUAACCAUUGGAAACGAUGGCUAAUACCGCAUGAUGCCUACGGGCCAAAGAGGGGGACCUUCGGGCCUCUCGCGUCAAGAUAUGCCUAGGUGGGAUUAGCUAGUUGGUGAGGUAAUGGCUCACCAAGGCGACGAUCCCUAGCUGGUCUGAGAGGAUGAUCAGCCACACUGGAACUGAGACACGGUCCAGACUCCUACGGGAGGCAGCAGUGGGGAAUAUUGCACAAUGGGCGAAAGCCUGAUGCAGCCAUGCCGCGUGUAUGAAGAAGGCCUUCGGGUUGUAAAGUACUUUCAGUUGUGAGGAAGGGUGUGUAGUUAAUAGCUGCGCAUCUUGACGUUAGCAACAGAAGAAGCACCGGCUAACUCCGUGCCAGCAGCCGCGGUAAUACGGAGGGUGCGAGCGUUAAUCGGAAUUACUGGGCGUAAAGCGCAUGCAGGUGGUUCAUUAAGUCAGAUGUGAAAGCCCGGGGCUCAACCUCGGAACUGCAUUUGAAACUGGUGAACUAGAGUACUGUAGAGGGGGGUAGAAUUUCAGGUGUAGCGGUGAAAUGCGUAGAGAUCUGAAGGAAUACCAGUGGCGAAGGCGGCCCCCUGGACAGAUACUGACACUCAGAUGCGAAAGCGUGGGGAGCAAACAGGAUUA